GUGGUCGGUGUACAGGUGGUGCAUGGGUUGUCGUCAGCUCGUGUCGUGAGAUGUUGGGUUAAGUCCCGCAACGAGCGCAACCCUCGUCCUAUGUUGCCAGCGGGUCAUGCCGGGGACUCAUGGGAGACUGCCGGGGUCAACUCGGAGGAAGUGGGAUGACGUCAAAUCAUCCAUCGCCCCUUAUGUCUUGGGCUUCACGCAUGCUACAAUGGCCGGUACAAAGGGCUGCGAUACCGCGAGGUGGAGCGAAUCCCAGAAAGCCGGUCUCAGUUCGGAUUGAAGUCUGCAACUCGACUUCAUGAAGUUGGAAUCGCUAGUAAUCGCGGACCAGCAUGCCGCGGUGAAUACGUUCCCGGGCCUU
This 361-nucleotide ribosomal RNA is filed under the name uncultured Arthrobacter sp. Its description in RNAcentral is "bacterial SSU rRNA". It matches the Rfam family "Bacterial small subunit ribosomal RNA", at positions 1023 to 1382 of the family's 1533-position model. Lineage: Bacteria; Bacillati; Actinomycetota; Actinomycetes; Micrococcales; Micrococcaceae. The record is from RNAcentral.